AUAUUUAAAUUUAGUUUCUCGUCGAUUUUCAAAACGUUCGCAACGACUUUUAUUUACGAGGAAAUCUCGUCUGCCCGGAAAACGCUUAGCCUGUGCAAUUGGUGGGAAAGAGAUGCAGCGAUCUGUAUAACUAAUUUUCAGCCGUAAAUUUGAACAAAGUGAAUAAAUUCCAAAAA
This is a long non-coding RNA of Drosophila innubila, 176 nucleotides long. RefSeq lists it as uncharacterized. The record is from RefSeq and is a predicted model, not a curated record. The transcript has 2 exons. Lineage: Eukaryota; Metazoa; Arthropoda; Insecta; Diptera; Drosophilidae.